Molecule: long non-coding RNA, 1227 nt
Organism: Larimichthys crocea (large yellow croaker)
Lineage: Eukaryota; Metazoa; Chordata; Actinopteri; Sciaenidae
Exons: 2
Source: RefSeq, a predicted model, not a curated record
GGAGAGAGAGGCUGCGGGAAAGCCUCCACCUCCGGGCUGGAUGCGGAUGACGGCUGGCUGGUGGAAAUUCAGCAGGAAUCUGGAACACUCACAGGAUCUCCAUGGCAACCAAAGCAAGCUGCAGAAUCCAAGACAACGUGGCUCGGGCCCAUUCGUUCUCUCCCAACACCUCUCCAUCUCCAUCUUCCUCGUUUAGGCUGCGUGUGUGUGUGUUGUCAGGAAAGCUGACUCUUGAGGCCGGCAGUGUUCUAAACAGGCAGCGUCGAGGGAUGCCGUGCCUUUGAGGUCCUGUCGCCAUGGGUUUGUAACCAAGGGCGCCGUGGCUGUGGAGACUGGCCCCAGGCAUUUUUUAUUUUCCUUCCAUUCCCAGAUCAUCCAUUACAUUUCCACUCUGCUCCACGGGAAAAAAAGGAUGUUUGCUGUCUUGGGUUUGGGUUAUUAGGUACAUUCACCAUCUAAUACAACUGUUUUCACUCAUAUGUGCAUAUCCAAACAUCAACUUCAACUGUCCCUGGAUGAGGACACAGAGAAAUAGACACAUUUCUCUCUCUGUCACACAAAGAACAGCAUCACAUCUUAGAGUUUAAGAAGUUGCAACAAGCAAAUGUUUGACAUUCUCACUUAAAAAAUGACCAAAGAUUAUAGAUUGAUUAUCUAUUUUUCUGUCAACUGAUGGACGGAUCCACUGAGCCUUAUGUUGUGCCACAGGGUGGUGCCUCUGCCUCUCAUGUCACAGUUAAAAAAGGAUGUGAAGGCUUGCACAAUUAAAGAAGUGUUCUUUUUCACAUCAUGAAGACAGAAAUAUUCAAAACAUGCCGACACAACUAACAGCUAUAACGUUUGUUUCCCUCUGUGUCUCUCCUCAGCUACAGACUUUGUUCCUCUUUCAUGAUUCAUCAUCACGAUGAGUUCAAAUCAUCUGUUUGUACGUGUCUUUGCAUCAUUAAUGCUUUUACUAACACACCAAAGUGUGUGGCAACGCACAAGAAGCACACAGACUAAAUGAAACUUACCUUUGAAACACGGAAACACAAAAGCCACAGACACAAAUGCAUGCACCCACACACACAGUCACACAUUAGACAGACUGACUGAGCCAAGACAAAUGAAUUAAAGUCACAUUCUGCAGAUUAAAUGAGUUCCUACCAGUGAUACAAAGGCAGAACUCAAGUGUCAGUCUCAACUCAGUGCCCCUGCAGCCUUCUUCUGACAGCUGCCGCAAACAAA